RNAcentral lists this ribosomal RNA (253 nucleotides) under uncultured bacterium. Its description in RNAcentral is "partial 16S ribosomal RNA". It matches the Rfam family "Bacterial small subunit ribosomal RNA", at positions 524 to 776 of the family's 1533-position model. The record is from RNAcentral.
UACGGAGGGUGCAAGCGUUGUUCGGAUUUAUUGGGCGUAAAGCGCGUGUAGGCGGUUUCUUAAGUCUGAUGUGAGAGCCCUGGGCUCAACCCAGGAAGUGCAUUGGAUACUGGGAGACUUGAAUACGGGAGAGGGUAGUGGAAUUCCUAGUGUAGGAGUGAAAUCCGUAGAUAUUAGGAGGAACACCGGUGGCGAAGGCGGCUACCUGGACCGAUAUUGACGCUGAGACGCGAAAGCGUGGGGAGCAAACAGG